GCAAGUCGAACGAGAAUCUUCGGAUUCUAUUGGCGGACGGGUGAGUAACACGUAGUUAAUCUGCCUUAGGGAAGGUAAUAAUCGGAGAUAUUCGAGGUAAUACCCUAUAUGGUCUUCGGACUGAAAGCUCCGGCGCCCUGAGAUGAGCCUGCGGUGCAUUAGCUAGUUGGUGGGGUAAUGGCCUACCAAGGCGACGAUGCAUAGCUGGUCUGAGAGGAUGAUC
Molecule: ribosomal RNA, 223 nt
Filed under: uncultured bacterium
Lineage: Bacteria
Description: partial 16S ribosomal RNA
Rfam family: Bacterial small subunit ribosomal RNA
Source: RNAcentral